CAUCGGCGCCACGAGUGGGGAUCAGUUUUAUUUGGCCUAAAGCGUUCGUAGCCGAUCAUAUAAGUCUCUUGUGAAAUCGUUGGGCUCAACCUAGCGGCGUGCAAGAGAUACUGUUUGAUUAGGGACCGGGAGGGGACAGAGGUACUCCUUGGGAAGCGGUAAAAUGUUAUAAUCCUUGGAGGACCACCUGUGGCGAAGGCGUCUGUCCAGAACGGGUCCGACGGUGAGGAACGAAAGCUGGGGGAUCAAACCGG
This 254-nucleotide ribosomal RNA is filed under the name uncultured bacterium. Its description in RNAcentral is "partial 16S ribosomal RNA". It matches the Rfam family "Archaeal small subunit ribosomal RNA", at positions 474 to 727 of the family's 1478-position model. The record is from RNAcentral.